GACGAACGCUGGCGGCGUGCUUAACACAUGCAAGUCGAACGGAAAGGCCCUGCUUUUGUGGGGUGCUCGAGUGGCGAACGGGUGAGUAACACGUGAGUAACCUGCCCUUGACUUUGGGAUAACUUCAGGAAACUGGGGCUAAUACCGGAUAGGAGCUCCUGCUGCAUGGUGGGGGUUGGAAAGUUUCGGCGGUUGGGGAUGGACUCGCGGCUUAUCAGCUUGUUGGUGGGGUAGUGGCUUACCAAGGCUUUGACGGGUAGCCGGCCUGAGAGGGUGACCGGCCACAUUGGGACUGAGAUGCGGCCCAGACUCCUACGGGAGGCAGCAGUGGAGAAUAUUGCACAAUGGGCGGAAGCCUGAUGCAGCAACGCCGCGUGCGGGAUGACGGCCUUCGGGUUGUAAACCGCUUUCGCCUGUGACGAAGCGUGAGUGACGGUAAUGGGUAAAGAAGCACCGGCUAACUACGUG
This 468-nucleotide ribosomal RNA is filed under the name uncultured bacterium. RNAcentral's name for it is "partial 16S ribosomal RNA". It matches the Rfam family "Bacterial small subunit ribosomal RNA", at positions 28 to 507 of the family's 1533-position model. The record is from RNAcentral.